RNAcentral lists this unclassified non-coding RNA (2539 nucleotides) under Hevea brasiliensis (rubber tree). Lineage: Eukaryota; Viridiplantae; Streptophyta; Magnoliopsida; Malpighiales; Euphorbiaceae. The record is from RNAcentral.
GUAGCGAUUAGUGAAAGGGGAAUAGAAUACACGAGAAUGGUGGGUUUGUGUAGUUAAUGCAGAGAGGCCAAUUGUCCACCAUGAACACUUGUCUCUAAAUCUUCCCAGUUUUUGAACUUGUUGAGAGAGAGAGAGAGAGUGUGAAGAGGUCGUAGAGAGAGAAAGUGAGUUCUCAGUUCCCGAUGCUCUUGCAAUGGGGAAAGAAUUGGAGCAAAAUCUGCCGCAACAGCAGAGUCGUGAGAGUGGAAAUAGAGGAGGAAGAGGGGGAGGUUCUUCGGGUCUUUUCUGUGAGAGAUGUUCGAUGGGAUUAUCAAUAAUCUCUAAGGAAUUCAGUUUUAGAUGUUUUUUCGCUUUGAUUCUCAGUUUGUCUCUUUUGGUCUCUGGGAUCUUCUGGAUCCUCCCUUUCCGUACAGCUAAAUUAGAUGCUUUUGAUGCCCAAGAUGCAAUUAAGCUUCGCGCCACAAUACAAGCAUACUUUAGACUGCAAAAGCCAGUUUCACAGCUUGUUCCACACAUUGGAAGAUUAGAAUAUGAUAUCAAUGAUGAAAUAGGUGUGCCAAAUGCAAAGGUGGCUAUCCUAUCCAUGCAUCAAUCAGGUGCAUCUAACUGGACUGAUGUGGUGUUUGGUGUUCUCUCUGACUCAAUAAAUGCUCAAAUAAAUCAAGUGUCCUUGAGUGUGCUGAGGUCUUCUUUAAUUGAGGUGUUCCUUCAGGAAUCCAAUCUGACUUUGACAAUCUCAAUUUUUGGGCAGCCCUCUAUGUUUGAGAUUUUGAAGUUUCCUGGGGGGAUCACUGUAAUCCCAGUGCCCUAUGCUUCCCUUUGGCAGAUGCCCCAGAUCCUCUUUAAUUUUACCCUCAAUAAUUCAUUAGCUGAAAUACUGGAUAAUCUCACAGAGUUAAGGGAUCAGUUGAAGUUUGGAUUACAACUGAGACCAUACGAGGUAUUACAUAUUUUACUUCUUGUGUCAGCAGUUCUAGUGUCUUUUGAAAAUUGAAAUAUGACUUUAGGUUUUAUUCUCUUAAUGUUUUAAUGAUUUGACAUUUACCAUGCAGGAUAUCAAUUCAUAUUCAAGUACAAUUUCUCAAUUCAACAAUUAUCAAUGAUGAAUCUUUAAUCAGUUGACUGAGGAAAAUGGAAAUUAUCGUAAACUACCUAGUCAAUGUUGGGUGGCCCUAGCGGGUUCUAAAAUACUCAGAACCUAGUGUAAACUGUUAAUUAUGGAUUUAAAUUCUGUCUCCCGUUUUUGUGCAGAAUAAUAGUAUUGUCACUAACACUGAUAAUUAGCCUUCAAGUAAGCUGCAUGAGUGCUAGCCAAUAAAUGGUAUAUGAUUUAUGCCUGUAGAAUAAGUUGAGUUUAAUACUGGCUGUCUAAUUUCCUUGUCCUUUUUUACCUUGUUAUGCAGAAUGUAGUUGUGCAAAUAACAAACACAGCUGGCUCCACAAUAAAUCCACCAGUCACUGUUCAGGCUUCUGUCGUAUCAGAUCUAGGGAGCCUUUUGCCACAAAGAUUGAAACAGUUAGCUCAAACAAUCACAGAUUCUCCUUCAAAGAAUCUUGGCCUGAAUAACUCAGUUUUUGGUAAAGUAAAGAGUGUUAUUUUAUCAUCAUAUUUAAAAGGUACACUUCAUGCAAACCCUCCAACUCCUUCACCUGCUCCAUCUCCAGAGCCCAGUGAUUAUGCUGAACCUCCAAUUUCCCCAUGUCCUACUUCUUCUCCAUCACCCCUUCCAGCGUCCUCUCCAUCAGAUGAUAGUCCUUCACAUGCAACAAGCCCAAAAAGUGGGCCACACCAUUCUUCACCUCCUGUAAAUUCUCCAGCACCUUCUGUGGUAACAGCUAAUCCUCGAGCUCGUCACCCUUCUGGACACCAUGGUUCUCCAAUAUCUCCAAGCUCAUCACCAUCUUAUUCUAACCGAAGUCCUUACUUACGUCCAGUGGAUCCCCCAUCACAACUGCCCACGGAUCACUCUCCUUUACCUCAAGUAUCCUAUGGUUCCACACCAACCAAAGGUCCAGUAUCUCAAUCACUUGCUCCAUCUCCAUCUGCACCAUCUCCAUCAUCCGUAUCAGCAAGUCCUUUCUACAGGGAGAUCUGGUGGUUGGGAUUUUCUGGACUCUUGAUCUUUCAACUUUUUUGUUGAUCACAUUUACAUUUCUUAAUCAUAGACAGUUUCUGAGGCAUAGUUAGAAGACUUAUGAUACCCAGUUUUGUUCUGGCGAGAAUGGUAGAAACACAUAUGGGAAGUUCACAAGUUAUCUUCAAAAAAUUGACAUAAAUGUAAAGGAAACCCAAGAUGAAUUGUAGGUCAAAGCCAAGAAGGUGGCAGGCCUUUCAUCUCACUUCUAAGUUCCUAAUGUCACAGGGAAACAUGAGUUUCUUAUAAAGGGAACAAUCCCUUACCAGUGAUCAAUCAAGAAGCAACUUUGUAUUGCAGAUUUCACGAUCCUUUUCCUCUAUGUCUCAAGUGUAAAAAAUGGAGGUUCUUUAGUAGCAUCUGCAAUACAAUGUUGAAGGAAAAAAUUGUAAACUUCUGGAGAA